Molecule: ribosomal RNA, 253 nt
Filed under: uncultured bacterium
Lineage: Bacteria
Description: partial 16S ribosomal RNA
Rfam family: Bacterial small subunit ribosomal RNA
Source: RNAcentral
UACGAAGGGGGCGAGCGUUGUUCGGAUUUACUGGGCGUAAAGCGCGCGCAGGCGGCCUCGCGCGCCCGACGUGAAAGCCCCCGGCUUAACCGGGGAGAGUCGUUGGGGACGGCGGGGCUUGAGGGCGGGAGAGGUCGGUGGAAUUCCCGGUGUAGUGGUGAAAUGCGUAGAGAUCGGGAGGAACACCUGUGGCGAAGGCGGCCGACUGGGCCGACCCUGACGCUGAGGCGCGAAGGCGUGGGGAGCGAACGGG